GACGAACGCUGGCGGCGUGCUUAACACAUGCAAGUCGAACGGUAAGGCUCCAGCUUGCUGGGGUACACGAGUGGCGAACGGGUGAGUAACACGUGGGUGACCUGCCCUGCACUUCGGGAUAAGCCUGGGAAACUGGGUCUAAUACCGGAUAGGACCAUGGUGUGGAUACUGUGGUGGAAAGUUUUUUCGGUGUGGGAUGGGCCCGCGGCCUAUCAGCUUGUUGGUGGGGUAAUGGCCUACCAAGGCGGCGACGGGUAGCCGGCCUGAGAGGGUGGACGGCCACAUUGGGACUUAGACACGGCCCAGACUCCUACGGGAGGCAGCAGUUGGGAAUAUUGCACAAUGGGCGGAAGCCUGAUGCAGCGACGCCGCGUGGGGGAUGACGGCCUUCGGGUUGUAAACUCCUUUCCCCCUCGACGAAGGGUUUCUGACGGUAGAUGGAGAAGAAGCACCGGCUAACUACGUG
This 466-nucleotide ribosomal RNA is filed under the name uncultured bacterium. RNAcentral's name for it is "partial 16S ribosomal RNA". It matches the Rfam family "Bacterial small subunit ribosomal RNA", at positions 28 to 507 of the family's 1533-position model. The record is from RNAcentral.